CAAUGUCUGGCACGUAGUGAUUAUCAUUAGGAUUCCUUAUACAGCUGAAAACUGCCAACGCUUUUCUAACAGGGGUUUGCAGCAAAGCUUUCUUAUCAGUAUGGUGGAGAAAGAUGUGAUUUGAGGCAAAAAUGUCGUCUUCCUGCAAAAUGAUUUGAUAGAAACCAGGGUUAGUUCCACUUAUCUAUACAUCAGAUGAAACAUUACUAAUACAAAACCAUUGAUACUCUGCUCAAACAUUACAUGGAUCCUUGUUCAGUUUAUCAACAUAAAAAGCAAGUAAUUAAUACAAAAGCUACAGAUCCAUAUAUACUUGAUAAACACAAACUUUCCGUUAGAUAUAUCAGUACACAACUAAUAUUACAAAGAAGAUGAAACAAACAAUAAUGGGCAUAGAAAAUGAGGGAACAGAAUGAUAUUUGUAGACUAUGGAUCAAGUCAACAAACAGCCCUGCAUAUUGUUGUGCGCACACAGGUCAUCUUGAACAUGUAAGGAUAUUGCUGGAAGGUGGAGCAAAUGUAAACAAGCCCUGCUAUUCAGGAUCGCAAGUAAACUUGAAAUCAAACCUGAAACUAAAGUAGAAAGUCUGCAGAAUAAACCUUUAUCAAGUACAAUUAUUGUCAUUAGUGAUUUCUUAAAUUGAUGCUCAUUAAUCUAGUCAUCUGUAACUUGCUAAAAUGCAGGUCAAAAUUUGGAGGCUACAAUUAUACUAUAUUAUUAGCCACAUUAUAUUUUCACAGGGGCCUAUAAAACAUACAAAAAUUUCUAAGAGGACAAUAAACAAACAGUGUUACACAUAAAAAUACAAUACAAUAACUACGCAUUUCAGGUUCACAUACAUACAUGUAACUACACAAAUAUAUACAUGUAGCCCAAACAAAUAUAUAUACAAAUAUAAAGAAGAAUAUACCUAACAAAGCAAGCUCUAAAAUCAAAGAAAAUCUGACUCCGCAUCCCAAAAUCCAACUAAACUGCAAGCUGCAAGAUUUAAGCUUUAACAAACCCUAGGCUCCAAGAUUUAAGCUCCAACAAACCCCACUCCUCAAAAUUGAACCUCAAGCUUCAAAGACGAACACACUUCACUCCUUAAACUUCAAAUCUGUUCAAGAAAUUGAAACAAAUGAGAAAGCAAAACAUUUGAAAGAAAGAAAGUAAGAAAAUAA
Molecule: long non-coding RNA, 1164 nt
Filed under: Daucus carota (carrot)
Lineage: Eukaryota; Viridiplantae; Streptophyta; Magnoliopsida; Apiales; Apiaceae
Description: long non-coding RNA (DCAR_LNC001997)
Source: RNAcentral